This 733-nucleotide long non-coding RNA is filed under the name Homo sapiens (human). Its description in RNAcentral is "HSALNT0382149". The record is from RNAcentral. Lineage: Eukaryota; Metazoa; Chordata; Mammalia; Primates; Hominidae.
UGGAGGUCAGGCACGCAGGCGGAUGAACUCAGGUUUCUCUAGAAUAUCAUUUCAGAGGCUUAAAUGCCUCCCACCCUCUCGCUGUCAGCGGACAGGGCAUGUGGAACUGUUAAACGUUAAAACUCUCUGCUCUGGGGCCCAGCCCGUGCUCUCUAAAUAAAGGUAGGAGCGGAAAGAGUGUUGUUGCCAUCAUGAAAUCACACUUCACAGGAGCCAGAUUUCGGCGAUUCUGUGUCUAAGAGAAAAUGCUAAUCCAAACAAGGGCAGGUUGGAGAAGAGCCUGGGAUUUCUAUGCCCUAGAAACUGCACUCUCCACCCUUGCAGCCCAGAAACACAAACACACACACACUUGUUCUCCACGCCUGCCUUCCGAGUGGCCAGAGCUGGGGGAAGUCUGGAGAGCCCUCGGAAACGCCGUCCUUUCAGAAUCAGCGCUGGCCCUUCCCCAGGUGAUGAGAGAAGAGAGCGAGGAGGACCAAAGCGGAAGCGGAUAGAGCCAUUCUUUUCGGGGCAAAUGGCCACACAAGCCUUCCUGAAGAUUCCCUUCUUACUUUGGAUAGGGUCUCCCUCUGUUGCCCAGGCUGGAAUACAGUGUUGUGAUCUUGGCUCACUGCAGCCUUAACCUCCCAGGCUCAAGUGAUCCUCCCAUCUCAGCCUCCUGCGUAGCUGGGACUACAGGACACAGGACUGUUCAGAGAAGCUGUCUUUCUGUGCAUUUGUUGGUUGCUAGGGA